GUACACACCGCCCGUCGCUGUUACCGAUUGAAUGGUUUAGUGAGCUGGGAGGAGUUUUGUUUCGGGCUUGCCUGGGACGGGAUGAAUCCUAUCAAACUUGACCCUUUAGAGGAAGCAAAAGUUGUAACAAGGUUUCCGUAGGUGAACCUGCAGAAGGAUCA
RNAcentral lists this ribosomal RNA (161 nucleotides) under uncultured eukaryote. RNAcentral describes it as "partial small subunit ribosomal RNA". It matches the Rfam family "Eukaryotic small subunit ribosomal RNA", at positions 1662 to 1828 of the family's 1831-position model. The record is from RNAcentral.